Molecule: ribosomal RNA, 2901 nt
Filed under: Escherichia coli
Lineage: Bacteria; Pseudomonadati; Pseudomonadota; Gammaproteobacteria; Enterobacterales; Enterobacteriaceae
Description: 23S ribosomal RNA
Rfam family: Bacterial large subunit ribosomal RNA
Source: RNAcentral
GGUUAAGCGACUAAGCGUACACGGUGGAUGCCCUGGCAGUCAGAGGCGAUGAAGGACGUGCUAAUCUGCGAUAAGCGUCGGUAAGGUGAUAUGAACCGUUAUAACCGGCGAUUUCCGAAUGGGGAAACCCAGUGUGAUUCGUCACACUAUCAUUAACUGAAUCCAUAGGUUAAUGAGGCGAACCGGGGAACUGAAACAUCUAAGUACCCCGAGGAAAAGAAAUCAACCGAGAUUCCCCCAGUAGCGGCGAGCGAACGGGGAGCAGCCCAGAGCCUGAAUCAGUGUGUGUGUUAGUGGAAGCGUCUGGAAAGGCGCGCGAUACAGGGUGACAGCCCCGUACACAAAAAUGCACAUGCUGUGAGCUCGAUGAGUAGGGCGGGACACGUGGUAUCCUGUCUGAAUAUGGGGGGACCAUCCUCCAAGGCUAAAUACUCCUGACUGACCGAUAGUGAACCAGUACCGUGAGGGAAAGGCGAAAAGAACCCCGGCGAGGGGAGUGAAAAAGAACCUGAAACCGUGUACGUACAAGCAGUGGGAGCACGCUUAGGCGUGUGACUGCGUACCUUUUGUAUAAUGGGUCAGCGACUUAUAUUCUGUAGCAAGGUUAACCGAAUAGGGGAGCCGAAGGGAAACCGAGUCUUAACUGGGCGUUAAGUUGCAGGGUAUAGACCCGAAACCCGGUGAUCUAGCCAUGGGCAGGUUGAAGGUUGGGUAACACUAACUGGAGGACCGAACCGACUAAUGUUGAAAAAUUAGCGGAUGACUUGUGGCUGGGGGUGAAAGGCCAAUCAAACCGGGAGAUAGCUGGUUCUCCCCGAAAGCUAUUUAGGUAGCGCCUCGUGAACUCAUCUCCGGGGGUAGAGCACUGUUUCGGCAAGGGGGUCAUCCCGACUUACCAACCCGAUGCAAACUGCGAAUACCGGAGAAUGUUAUCACGGGAGACACACGGCGGGUGCUAACGUCCGUCGUGAAGAGGGAAACAACCCAGACCGCCAGCUAAGGUCCCAAAGUCAUGGUUAAGUGGGAAACGAUGUGGGAAGGCCCAGACAGCCAGGAUGUUGGCUUAGAAGCAGCCAUCAUUUAAAGAAAGCGUAAUAGCUCACUGGUCGAGUCGGCCUGCGCGGAAGAUGUAACGGGGCUAAACCAUGCACCGAAGCUGCGGCAGCGACGCUUAUGCGUUGUUGGGUAGGGGAGCGUUCUGUAAGCCUGUGAAGGUGUGCUGUGAGGCAUGCUGGAGGUAUCAGAAGUGCGAAUGCUGACAUAAGUAACGAUAAAGCGGGUGAAAAGCCCGCUCGCCGGAAGACCAAGGGUUCCUGUCCAACGUUAAUCGGGGCAGGGUGAGUCGACCCCUAAGGCGAGGCCGAAAGGCGUAGUCGAUGGGAAACAGGUUAAUAUUCCUGUACUUGGUGUUACUGCGAAGGGGGACGGAGAAGGCUAUGUUGGUCGGGCGACGGUUGUCCCGGUUUAAGCGUGUAGGCUGGUUUUCCAGGCAAAUCCGGAAAAUCAAGGCUGAGGCGUGAUGACGAGGCACUACGGUGCUGAAGCAACAAAUGCCCUGCUUCCAGGAAAAGCCUCUAAGCAUCAGGUAACAUCAAAUCGUACCCCAAACCGACACAGGUGGUCAGGUAGAGAAUACCAAGGCGCUUGAGAGAACUCGGGUGAAGGAACUAGGCAAAAUGGUGCCGUAACUUCGGGAGAAGGCACGCUGAUAUGUAGGUGAAGUCCCUCGCGGAUGGAGCUGAAAUCAGUCGAAGAUACCAGCUGGCUGCAACUGUUUAUUAAAAACACAGCACUGUGCAAACACGAAAGUGGACGUAUACGGUGUGACGCCUGCCCGGUGCCGGAAGGUUAAUUGAUGGGGUCAGCGCAAGCGAAGCUCUUGAUCGAAGCCCCGGUAAACGGCGACUGUAACUAUAACGGUCCUAAGGUAGCGAAAUUCCUUGUCGGGUAAGUUCCGACCUGCACGAAUGGCGUAAUGAUGGCCAGGCUGUCUCCACCCGAGACUCAGUGAAAUUGAACUCGCUGUGAAGAUGCAGUGUACCCGCGGCAAGACGGAAAGACCCCGUGAACCUUUACUAUAGCUUGACACUGAACAUUGAGCCUUGAUGUGUAGGAUAGGUGGGAGGCUUAGAAGUGUGGACGCCAGUCUGCAUGGAGCCGACCUUGAAAUACCACCCUUUAAUGUUUGAUGUUCUAACGUUGACCCGUAAUCCGGGUUGCGGACAGUGUCUGGUGGGUAGUUUGACUGGGGCGGUCUCCUCCUAAAGAGUAACGGAGGAGCACGAAGGUUGGCUAAUCCUGGUCGGACAUCAGGAGGUUAGUGCAAUGGCAUAAGCCAGCUUGACUGCGAGCGUGACGGCGCGAGCAGGUGCGAAAGCAGGUCAUAGUGAUCCGGUGGUUCUGAAUGGAAGGGCCAUCGCUCAACGGAUAAAAGGUACUCCGGGGAUAACAGGCUGAUACCGCCCAAGAGUUCAUAUCGACGGCGGUGUUUGGCACCUCGAUGUCGGCUCAUCACAUCCUGGGGCUGAAGUAGGUCCCAAGGGUAUGGCUGUUCGCCAUUUAAAGUGGUACGCGAGCUGGGUUUAGAACGUCGUGAGACAGUUCGGUCCCUAUCUGCCGUGGGCGCUGGAGAACUGAGGGGGCUGCUCCUAGUACGAGAGGACCGGAGUGGACGCAUCACUGGUGUUCGGGUUGUCAUGCCAAUGGCACUGCCCGGUAGCUAAAUGCGGAAGAGAUAAGUGCUGAAAGCAUCUAAGCACGAAACUUGCCCCGAGAUGAGUUCUCCCUGACUCCUUGAGAGUCCUGAAGGAACGUUGAAGACGACGACGUUGAUAGGCCGGGUGUGUAAGCGCAGCGAUGCGUUGAGCUAACCGGUACUAAUGAACCGUGAGGCUUAACCUU